UGGGCAACCUGCCCUCAGCACGGGGAUAACCCCCGGGGAAACCGGAGCUAAUACCCGAUACGACCUUCGCGGGCAUCCGUGAAGGUGGAAAGUGUUAGUGGCUGAGGAUGGGCCCGCGGCCUAUCAGCUUGUUGGUGAGGUAACGGCUCACCAAGGCUUCGACGGGUAGCCGGCCUGAGAGGGCGACCGGCCACACUGGGACUGAGACACGGUCCAGACUCCUACGGGAGCA
RNAcentral lists this ribosomal RNA (232 nucleotides) under uncultured bacterium. RNAcentral describes it as "partial 16S ribosomal RNA". It matches the Rfam family "Bacterial small subunit ribosomal RNA", at positions 118 to 347 of the family's 1533-position model. The record is from RNAcentral.